RNAcentral lists this ribosomal RNA (474 nucleotides) under Streptococcus australis. Its description in RNAcentral is "bacterial SSU rRNA". It matches the Rfam family "Bacterial small subunit ribosomal RNA", at positions 28 to 485 of the family's 1533-position model. The record is from RNAcentral. Lineage: Bacteria; Bacillati; Bacillota; Bacilli; Lactobacillales; Streptococcaceae.
GAUGAACGCUGGCGGCGUGCCUAAUACAUGCAAGUAGAACGCUGAGGGAAGGAGCUUGCUCUUUCCGGAUGAGUUGCGAACGGGUGAGUAACGCGUAGGUAACCUGCCUGGUAGCGGGGGAUAACUAUUGGAAACGAUAGCUAAUACCGCAUAACAGUAGAUGUUGCAUGACAUCUGCUUGAAAGGUGCAAUUGCACCACUACCAGAUGGACCUGCGUUGUAUUAGCUAGUUGGUGAGGUAACGGCUCACCAAGGCGACGAUACAUAGCCGACCUGAGAGGGUGAUCGGCCACACUGGGACUGAGACACGGCCCAGACUCCUACGGGAGGCAGCAGUAGGGAAUCUUCGGCAAUGGACGGAAGUCUGACCGAGCAACGCCGCGUGAGUGAAGAAGGUUUUCGGAUCGUAAAGCUCUGUUGUAAGAGAAGAACGAGUGUGAGAGUGGAAAGUUCACACUGUGACGGUAUCUACCA